RNAcentral lists this ribosomal RNA (484 nucleotides) under uncultured bacterium. RNAcentral's name for it is "partial 16S ribosomal RNA". It matches the Rfam family "Bacterial small subunit ribosomal RNA", at positions 30 to 507 of the family's 1533-position model. The record is from RNAcentral.
AUUGAACGCUGGCGGCAGGCCUAACACAUGCAAGUCGAGCGGAUGAAGGGAGCUUGCUCCUGGAUUCAGCGGCGGACGGGUGAGUAAUGCCUAGGAAUCUGCCUGGUAGUGGGGGAUAACGUCCGGAAACGGGCGCUAAUACCGCAUACGUCCUGAGGGAGAAAGUGGGGGAUCUUCGGACCUCACGCUAUCAGAUGAGCCUAGGUCGGAUUAGCUAGUUGGUGGGGUAAAGGCCUACCAAGGCGACGAUCCGUAACUGGUCUGAGAGGAUGAUCAGUCACAUUGGAAGUGAGACACGGUCCAGACUCCUACGGGAGGCAGCAGUGGGGAAUAUUGGACAAUGGGCGAAAGCCUGAUACAGCCAUGCCGCGUGUGUGAAGAAGGUCUUCGGAUUGUAAAGCACUUUAAGUUGGGAGGAAGGGCAGUAAGUUAAUACCUUGCUGUUUUGACGUUACCAACAGAAUAAGCACCGGCUAACUUCGUG